Molecule: transfer RNA, 70 nt
Filed under: Bos taurus (domestic cattle)
Lineage: Eukaryota; Metazoa; Chordata; Mammalia; Artiodactyla; Bovidae
Rfam family: tRNA
About the family: Transfer RNA (tRNA) molecules are approximately 80 nucleotides in length. Their secondary structure includes four short double-helical elements and three loops (D, anti-codon, and T loops). Further hydrogen bonds mediate the characteristic L-shaped molecular structure. tRNAs have two regions of fundamental functional importance: the anti-codon, which is responsible for specific mRNA codon recognition, and the 3' end, to which the tRNAs corresponding amino acid is attached (by aminoacyl-tRNA synthetases). tRNAs cope with the degeneracy of the genetic code in two manners: having more than one tRNA (with a specific anti-codon) for a particular amino acid; and 'wobble' base-pairing, i.e. permitting non-standard base-pairing at the 3rd anti-codon position.
Source: Rfam by way of RNAcentral
CCUCAUAGCUCAGUUGGUAAAUCAUCUGCCUGCAAUGCAGGAGACCCAGGUUCAAUUCCUGGGAUGAGAA